Molecule: ribosomal RNA, 344 nt
Filed under: uncultured Bacteroidota bacterium
Lineage: Bacteria; Pseudomonadati; Bacteroidota
Description: bacterial SSU rRNA
Rfam family: Bacterial small subunit ribosomal RNA
Source: RNAcentral
GCUCAGGAUGAACGCUAGCUACAGGCUUAACACAUGCAAGUCGAGGGGUAGCAGGGUAGCAAUACCGCUGACGACCGGCGCACGGGUGAGUAACACGUAUCCAACCUUCCCAUAACUCGGGGAUAGCCUUUCGAAAGAAAGAUUAAUACCCGAUAGUACUUUAUUAAGGCAUCUUAAGAAAGUUAAAGAUUUAUUGGUUAUGGAUGGGGAUGCGUUCCAUUAGAUAGUUGGUGAGGUAACAGCUCACCAAGUCUUCGAUGGAUAGGGGUUCUGAGAGGAAGGUCCCCCACAUUGGUACUGAGACACGGACCAAACUCCUACGGGAGGCAGCAGUGAGGAAUAUU